UACGAAAGGGGCUAGCGUUGUUCGGAAUUACUGGGCGUAAAGCGCGCGUAGGCGGGCUAGCAAGUUGGGGGUGAAAUCCCGGGGCUCAACCUCGGAACUGCCUCCAAAACUGCUAGCCUAGAGGAUGUGAGAGGAUAGUGGAAGUCCGAGUGUAGAGGUGAAAUUCGUAGAUAUUCGGAAGAACACCAGUGGCGAAGGCGACUGUCUGGCGCAUUUCUGACGCUGAGGUGCGAAAGCGUGGGGAUCAAACAGG
RNAcentral lists this ribosomal RNA (253 nucleotides) under uncultured bacterium. RNAcentral's name for it is "partial 16S ribosomal RNA". It matches the Rfam family "Bacterial small subunit ribosomal RNA", at positions 524 to 776 of the family's 1533-position model. The record is from RNAcentral.